AGAAGAUUGACUGAGUGGCUAAAGUGGUAUGUUUGAGCCAUAUUUAUUAUUUAUUAAUUACAUUGGUUCGAAUCCAAUAUCUUCUG
Molecule: transfer RNA, 86 nt
Filed under: Niveomyces insectorum
Lineage: Eukaryota; Fungi; Ascomycota; Sordariomycetes; Hypocreales; Cordycipitaceae
Also listed under: 1 other name
Description: Sporothrix insectorum tRNA-Ser
Rfam family: tRNA
About the family: Transfer RNA (tRNA) molecules are approximately 80 nucleotides in length. Their secondary structure includes four short double-helical elements and three loops (D, anti-codon, and T loops). Further hydrogen bonds mediate the characteristic L-shaped molecular structure. tRNAs have two regions of fundamental functional importance: the anti-codon, which is responsible for specific mRNA codon recognition, and the 3' end, to which the tRNAs corresponding amino acid is attached (by aminoacyl-tRNA synthetases). tRNAs cope with the degeneracy of the genetic code in two manners: having more than one tRNA (with a specific anti-codon) for a particular amino acid; and 'wobble' base-pairing, i.e. permitting non-standard base-pairing at the 3rd anti-codon position.
Source: RNAcentral